GUUUUUUUGAUUUAUAAUUUAAAAUUUAACCUGCCCUAUGAUGAUAAUUAAAUGGCUGCGGUAUUUUGACCGUGCAAAGGUAGCAUAAUCAUUUGUCUUUUAAUUGGAGGCUAGUAUGAAUGGUUGGAUGAGAAAUUAACUUUCUUUGUAUAUAUAUUUUGAAUUUAAUUUUUUAGUUAAAAAGCUUAAAUUUUUUUAUAGGACGAGAAGACCCUAUAGAACUUUACUUUUUAUAUUAAUUUUUUAUUUUUAGUUUUAUUAUUUAAUUUUUUUUGUAAAAAGUUUUGUUGGGGUGACAUAAAAAUUUAAAUAACUUUUUAUUAUUUUUUUCAUUAAUUUAUGUUUUUUUGAUCCAUAAUUUAUGAUUAUAAGAUUAAGUUACCUUAGGGAUAACAGCGUAAUUUUUUUGGAGAGUUCUUAUCGAUAAAAUAGUUUGCGA
Molecule: ribosomal RNA, 439 nt
Filed under: Paraphrynovelia brincki
Lineage: Eukaryota; Metazoa; Arthropoda; Insecta; Hemiptera; Paraphrynoveliidae
Description: partial 16S ribosomal RNA
Source: RNAcentral